Molecule: ribosomal RNA, 459 nt
Filed under: uncultured bacterium
Lineage: Bacteria
Description: partial 16S ribosomal RNA
Rfam family: Bacterial small subunit ribosomal RNA
Source: RNAcentral
CCUACGGGAGGCAGCAGUGAGGAAUAUUGGUCAAUGGACGAGAGUCUGAACCAGCCAAGUAGCGUGAAGGAUGACUGCCCUAUGGGUUGUAAACUUCUUUUAUAUGGGAAUAAAACGUUCCACGUGUGGGAUUUUGUAUGUACCAUAUGAAUAAGGAUCGGCUAACUCCGUGCCAGCAGCCGCGGUAAUACGGAGGAUCCGAGCGUUAUCCGGAUUUAUUGGGUUUAAAGGGAGCGUAGGUGGAUUGUUAAGUCAGUUGUGAAAGUUUGCGGCUCAACCGUAAAAUUGCAGUUGAAACUGGCAGUCUUGAGUACAGUAGAGGUGGGCGGAAUUCGUGGUGUAGCGGUGAAAUGCUUAGAUAUCACGAAGAACUCCGAUUGCGAAGGCAGUUCACUGGACUGCAACUGACACUGAGGCUCGAAAGUGUGGGUAUCAAACAGGAUUAGAUACCCCAGUGUC